RNAcentral lists this ribosomal RNA (253 nucleotides) under uncultured bacterium. RNAcentral's name for it is "partial 16S ribosomal RNA". It matches the Rfam family "Bacterial small subunit ribosomal RNA", at positions 524 to 776 of the family's 1533-position model. The record is from RNAcentral.
UACAGAGGUCUCAAGCGUUGUUCGGAUUCAUUGGGCGUAAAGGGUGUGUAGGUGGCGCGCUAAGUCGGGUGUGAAAUUUCGGAGCUUAACUCCGAAACUGCAUUCGAUACUGGCGUGCUUGAGGACUGGAGAGGAGACUGGAAUUUACGGUGUAGCAGUGAAAUGCGUAGAUAUCAGGAGGAAUACCGAUGGCGAAGGCAGGUCUCUGGGCUGACACUGACGCUCAUGCACGAAAGCGUGGGGAGCAAACGGG